Pelobates cultripes (western spadefoot toad) is the source of this 245-nucleotide non-coding RNA. Lineage: Eukaryota; Metazoa; Chordata; Amphibia; Anura; Pelobatidae. The record is from the annotation of a GenBank genome assembly.
CCUCCAACACCAUCUCCAUUAGAUACUUGACGCUUGAGAGGUAUGACUGUUUUAGUGUCUAUGGUCGAUAAGAUUCUUGUCAUGACUGCUAGUGUGGUCCAGCAUGCAGAACUAUGUAACAUCUACAUAGACCGAACAGAAAAUGAUAAAACGUAAACCGGUCCUUAGAAUGGCCGGACUAAUACGUUAAAAACAGAGAAUGGUCAAGGGAGCCAGAAAUAUACAAUACCAUUUAACAAGCCAAG